UGGGGAAUAUUGCACAAUGGGGGAAACCCUGAUGCAGCGACGCCGCGUGAACGAAGAAGGUAUUCGUAUCGUAAAGUUCUGUCCUAUGGUAAGAUAAUGACAGUACCAUAGAAGAAAGCUCCGGCUAAAUACGUGCCAGCAGCCGCGGUAAUACGUAUGGAGCGAGCGUUGUCCGGAAUUAUUGGGCGUAAAGGGUACGCAGGCGGUUUAAUAAGUCGAAUGUUAAAGAUCGGGGCUCAACCCCGCAAAGCAUUGGAAACUGAUAAACUUGAGUAGUGGAGAGGAAAGUGGAAUUCCUAGUGUAGUGGUGAAAUACGUAGAUAUUAGGAGGAAUACCAGUAGCGAAGGCGACUUUCUGGACACAAACUGACGCUGAGGUACGAAAGCGUGGGGAGCAAACAGG
This 403-nucleotide ribosomal RNA is filed under the name bacterium. RNAcentral's name for it is "partial 16S ribosomal RNA". It matches the Rfam family "Bacterial small subunit ribosomal RNA", at positions 355 to 776 of the family's 1533-position model. The record is from RNAcentral.